This 71-nucleotide transfer RNA is filed under the name Marmota monax (woodchuck). RNAcentral's name for it is "tRNA.Ala". Lineage: Eukaryota; Metazoa; Chordata; Mammalia; Rodentia; Sciuridae. The record is from RNAcentral.
GGGGUUGUGGCUCAGUGGUAGACCACUCACCUAGCAUGUGCCAGGCCCUGGGUUCAAUCCUCAGCACUACA